This 306-nucleotide ribosomal RNA is filed under the name Triticum aestivum (bread wheat). RNAcentral describes it as "partial small subunit ribosomal RNA". Lineage: Eukaryota; Viridiplantae; Streptophyta; Magnoliopsida; Poales; Poaceae. The record is from RNAcentral.
AUGUCCAAUGCAGUUGCACUAGCGGCAGAUCUCGGCGUAGUUCAGCCGGUCUUUGAAACAGACUCACAACUUUUGGUAGAAGCCUUGGAUCUCCGGAAAGCUGACUCCUCACCGUAUGCAGCCGUUAUUGAGAAUACAAAGUUUCAGCUGAAGUUGUGGUUUUCUAAAUAUGUUCUAGGGGUGUGUAGACGUAGUGCAAAUUCAGUUGCACAUGAACUAGCCAAUGUUGGCAGAAUGUACCCUGCAAACCAUUAUGUAGACUUUCAGUCGAAUGUUCCAGCUCAAGUGGCUGAAUGUGUCAGGUGA